UACGUAGGGUGCGAGCGUUAAUCGGAAUUACUGGGCGUAAAGCGUGCGCAGGCGGUUUUGCAAGCCGGAUGUGAAAUCCCCGGGCUCAACCUGGGAAUGGCAUUUGGGACUGCAAGGCUCGAGUGCGGCAGAGGAGACUGGAAUUCCUGGUGUAGCAGUGAAAUGCGUAGAUAUCAGGAGGAAUACCGAUGGCGAAGGCAGGUCUCUGGGCUGACACUGACGCUCAUGCACGAAAGCGUGGGAGCAACAGG
This 251-nucleotide ribosomal RNA is filed under the name uncultured bacterium. Its description in RNAcentral is "partial 16S ribosomal RNA". It matches the Rfam family "Bacterial small subunit ribosomal RNA", at positions 524 to 776 of the family's 1533-position model. The record is from RNAcentral.